UAAGGUGAAUUUAAAUGAUAUCAUAUUAUAUGUUCUAUUUCUCCUCAUCCUAAAAUUCCAGGAGGUGUUAAGUUGCUGUGUCCCUGGGUAUCAGAUACCUACAGAUUUGCUUUAAGAAGAUGGCACUAAAAACUAUACUAUCAGGGCAAGAUUCAAACUCUAGAAGGAUAAGAAAUGAAGGAUGGGAAACUCCCAUGCAUCAGUGGUGUAACACACAGCCUGUGUCAUUUUCUUAGGGAUGCCUCCUCUUAACCCUCUAGACUCUUAAAUCUCCUUUAUAAGAGCUCAUAACUUCCUGUCAUUUCUCUUCCCUAGUAUACAUUAGAAUAUUGAUGAACAUUUUGAUUAGCAACAUAGUUCUAUGUUAUCCAGUCUGUUAAAAUUCAAUAUUUAUAAUUACCAAUAUUUAUCUGAGAAUAAGGCGACACGCUGACCCACCAAACCUCAGUGUAGACUAGAGCUAGGGCAGUUUUUCAGAGCUCGCCUAUCUUCCUGAAGACGGUAAUAUAAAGUGAUUUCACUUCAAGUAACUUCUAAAGCUCUCCAGAAAGGAAAUUACUGGCCUACUGUCUUCCCUACUUCUCCUUAGACCAAUAGUAAUGGAUGAUUAGAAUGCAAACAACUGUAACUGGCUCCUCACUCCUCGUGGGAUACAGUCAUACAGGUAAGUGAUGAUGGAAAGAAGAAACAGGUAGAAAGAGACAAUUCCUACUGUCACUCUCAGUUCCACAAGAACAGGAGAUGUGUGUGUCUGUGUGUGUUUUGUGUACGCCUCCAGGAAUAAAGCAAAUGUUUGUUGUAAAAAGCAUGUUCAAUAAAAGUUUUGGAAUGAAUUAAAGAAACAACUAUGAAAGAAUCCAUGAUGUCAUUGUUUAUAAGGGAAGUAAAAACUCCUCUGCGUAUUCGUUCCCUUUGAAACAGCCCUUGAUUGGAUGCUUGAGAGGUUAUUAACAAAAAAUACAUUUACAAUAUGCAUUGCCUUCCCCCAUUUGGUUUUUCUUUAAAGAAUUCUUUUAUUUAUUUGAAAGACAGAAUUACAGAGAGAAAUAGAGCCAGAGAGAGAGAGAGGUCUUCCAUCCGCUGGUUCACUCCCCAAAUGACCACAUUGGCCAGAGCUGAGCUGAUCCAAAGCCAGGAGCCAGGAGCUUCUCCCAGGUCUCCCACAUCAGCGUGGAAGCCCAAGGAUUUGGGCCAUCUUCUAUUGUUUUCCCAGGUCCUAGCAGAGAGCUUGAUAGGAAGUGGAGCAGCUGGGACUAGAACCAGUGUCCACAUGGGAUGCUGGCACUGCAGGCUUGAUCUUUAACUCAAUGUGCACAGUACCGCCCCCCCCCCAUUUGCUUUUUAAAAUUCAUAUUAACCUUUUAACAACCCUGAACAUAUUAACAUCAUGAACAUAUUCACCAGAAAUGUUUCUCUGGAGAUGCAUAUUUGAGACAUCAAACUCUCAGAAAAGGAUGAAAGAAUACAAAAAAUGAACAUACAAAAAAAUCUGGCUGAAGAGAGUAGAAAAAAACAAAGGAACAAAAAAGCAGCAAAUUUUUGCCAAAAGCCAACAGACAUAAAUAUUUUUAUAUCAUGGGUUUGAAUAUGGUUAUGGGUUUGUACCCUCAUAAUCAAAGUAUAAAUUCUUAAAUAACCAAUAAUUUUAUUUUGGCCCCAAACACAACUAUUCUAGACUUAACAAAUUCCAAUUAGUUUUCCCUGGUAUAUUUAUAACUAAUGAACGCAAUGAGAUUGACAAGUCAAAAAAUAGAUAUUUUCUGGACUAUCUACUAUUUUGAUGAUGGAUGAAUUUCAGCAGCUAUGCCUUCCACCAAGCCUUGGGAAGCAAUGCUCCUCUUGUCUCUGGAAGUAACAUUUGGAUUGGAGUUCCUUCCUGGAACUAGGCCAACAUCCCUGAUUUCUGGCCUUAAAACCUCACUAUAAAGUAAACUAUCACUUAACAUAACAAGCACUGUGAACGCAGAGGAUUCCUUUGGAAGCCCAUGUAAAACAGUGCAAUACAGAUAACCAACGUUCAACAAUUAUCUGUGGAGUAACUGGUUAAGUCAAUAAAUGAAUACGUUUACUCUGAGAGCACUUCUUAGUACCAGUUCCCACGAAUUUGGGUACUAACAUAGACUGAUCAGAUGAGGUGACUGAGGGCAAUGCUACUGGGGAGAGUCUAGAAGCUUCCAGUUGGGGCAGUUAGUUGCCCCACCAGCCAAGUGAUGUUCUGCCAAACCAAUCAAACAAAAAGCUUUAGAACGCGAGAACGUUGCUGAGCAGGCUUCCGCCAGGUAACCCUCACAUAACAGGACUCAGCGUUCCCAGGACUUAGUACUUCUUGGAACCCCAAAGACCUUGUCUCUCACAUUGUGGAUGAGAAGUUUCCUCGGAGUCGCGGCUGCAGCGGGAGCAGCAGAGACGGAACGUUGAUCUUACCCAGAAGGCUUUGCUCCCCUUGUGACUGAGACACCCUGGGAUCCAGAGGGGAAACCUACCCGCAGUGCUCAUUCUGUGGUCGUCACCAGUUGUUUCCACGGAACUGAAUAAAAACUCUACUCGGCAGAACGAAAAGCUUUCAGAAAAUCUGUCUUUUGUUAUCACACCCUAUGAGCUUCCAGUCCUCACUGAUAUUCGUACUUCCAAACCUUUUCCCCUUAAUGUGGAAGUCACACAUCUGGCUAGACGUGAAGAUGUUGUGUGGGGAGAGUUUCCUUACAGAAGUGGCAUUGCAUUUCUACAGACAUUUCGCACAUUCCUUUGUACACAUCCUUGGAAAAUUAUCUGAGAGACUAAGAGUAGAGUCAGAAAAGCCACCUUCUGGAACAUUAUAUUAAUCAUGGUAAAGAAAAAGUGAACAACAGAAGACCGUUUAUAUUUUGGCACAAAGUAGCAGAUGUUAUUUUUAUUCACAUUCCACAGCCAGAACCAUGGGAAAUGCAAUCAGACAAGGCACCCAAGAGGUGGAGAGCAGAAAAUCUUUAUCCCUGAUGGCUUCCUCUUUGAGAUCCUGUGACAUCCACAACUUACAGAAACUGUAUUCCAUGUCUUCCUUCCAGAUGCCAUCUUGGAGUGCCUGUGUCUCAGUCCAACUCUGCUCCUGCUAAUGAGCACCCUGGGAGGCAGCAAGUGAUGGAUCAAGUAGUUGUAUCCUUGCCACCCAUGUGAGAUCCCGGGACUGAAUUAUUGGCUUCUGGAUUCUGUCUGCCACAGCCCUGGCUGUUGCAGGUAUUUGGGGAGUAAAUGAGCAAAUGGGAGAUUUCUGACUUUCUGGCUCUCUGUCUUACAAAUCAAUAAAUUAAAUUUGAAAGUAAUUAAAAUAAACAUUCUUUUUCAUUUGCUGCUUUCUUUAAAAUAUUAAUAAAUUUAUAUUUUUCCCAAAAAGAUGAACAUACAACAGUUUGUUCCAUACCCCAAAACUUAUUUCACUCUUUUUAAACUGUUGUGAUUUUUCAAGGCCCAACGCAAAGCAAACCCAGUCAAGUAAAGAUAAUAUUUAUUAAAAAUUAUUGGAGACAAAGGUUGACUAUUUAUCUCCCAAGAAUAUGUCUGAUGGUGAGAGUCUCCCUCCUUCCUUAAAGUGGUGACCAUGGACUGGUUCUGUUCUGGAGGAAGUGGUGCUGGUUCCUGAAGCUGUCCAGGGGCACUGGGGGUCUGUGGGCCCCUCAGAUGUAGGUAGAAUGUCCUCCACAAGCAGGCUGCCAGCUGUGGCUAGAAAGCCUGUCUCCUGACCUGCUGACAUCUCCCCCACGGUAGCUUCUUGUGCUGCAUGUGUGACCUUGAGGUUUUAAAUCAUGCCUUCAAGUUAUUUGCAAUCUUCCACUCAGAGCUAGCAGAAGAGGGGGCCAAGCCUCUAAGAAGAAUCGGACUGUCUGUAAGAGACCUCCCCGCUAUCUCCAUGAGCCCCAAGCCAGUUAACAUACUGUAUGUAAAACCCUUGUUCAAUUGGAACCCCCAUAGAAUGACCCAAUGAAAAACCAGUAAUGCCUUAAAAAAUCCUGGGCUCUUCCUGAAAGCCAGUGCCAGAUUUGAACACUCUGCCUGGUCUCCUCUCAGACCAAAUGCUUUUCUGUAGCUUGCCAAUCAAAUUCUGUUUCUUUGCAAAUUGCUUACUUUUUUU
Non-coding RNA from Oryctolagus cuniculus (rabbit), 4105 nucleotides. Lineage: Eukaryota; Metazoa; Chordata; Mammalia; Lagomorpha; Leporidae. The record is from RefSeq and is a predicted model, not a curated record.